This 320-nucleotide ribosomal RNA is filed under the name uncultured eukaryote. RNAcentral describes it as "partial 18S ribosomal RNA". It matches the Rfam family "Eukaryotic small subunit ribosomal RNA", at positions 1470 to 1796 of the family's 1831-position model. The record is from RNAcentral.
CCCUUAGAUGUUCUGGGCUGCACGCGUGCUACAAUGGCGCUUGCAACAAGUCUUGCCAACCCGAUAGGGUGAGCGGAUCUUUGAAGAGGCGUCGUGAUCGGGACAGUUGAUUGCAAUUAUUCGACUGGAACGAGGAAUUCCUUGUAAUCGCGAUUCAUCAUAUCGCGCUGAAUACGUCCCUGCCCUUUGUACACACCGCCCGUCGCUCCUACCGAUUGAGCGAUCCGGUGAAUGUUUUGGACUGGCGUCAGAAGCGGUUCGCUCCUGACACUACGAAAUUUUGUAAACCUUAUCGCUUAGAGGAAGGAAAAGUCGUAACA